UACGGAGGGUGCGAGCGUUGUCCGGAAUCACUGGGCGUAAAGCGCGCGUAGGCGGCUUUGCAAGUCGGGUGUGAAAUCCCCAGGCUUAACCUGGGAACUGCAUUCGAGACUGCAUUGCUAGAGUAUGGGAGAGGGAAGUGGAAUUUCCGGUGUAGCGGUGAAAUGCGUAGAUAUCGGGAGGAACAUCAGUGGCGAGAGCGACUUCCUGGACCAAUACUGACGCUCAUGAGCGAAAGCGUGGGGAGCAAACAGG
RNAcentral lists this ribosomal RNA (253 nucleotides) under uncultured bacterium. RNAcentral's name for it is "partial 16S ribosomal RNA". It matches the Rfam family "Bacterial small subunit ribosomal RNA", at positions 524 to 776 of the family's 1533-position model. The record is from RNAcentral.